AAAGGCCUGCAGCUUGCUGCGGGUACUCGAGUGGCGAACGGGUGAGUAACACGUGGGUGAUCUGCCUUGCACUUCGGGAUAAGCUUGGGAAACUGGGGUCUAAUACCGGAUAGGACAGCUGUUUAGUGUCAGUUGUGGAAAGUUUUUUCGGUGCAAGAUGAGCUCGCGGCCUAUCAGCUUGUUGGUGGGGUAAUGGCCUACCAAGGCGUCGACGGGUAGCCGGCCUGAGAGGGUGUACGGCCACAUUGGGACUGAGAUACGGCCCAGACUCCUACGGGAGGCAGCAGUGGGGAAUAUUGCACAAUGGGCGGAAGCCUGAUGCAGCGACGCCGCGUGGGGGAUGAAGGCCUUCGGGUUGUGAACUCCUUUCGACAGGGACGAAGCGUAAGUGACGGUACCUGUAUAAGAAGCACCGGCUAACUACGUGCCAGCAGCCGCGGUAAUACGUAGGGUGCGAGCGUUGUCCGGAAUUACUGGGCGUAAAGAGCUCGUAGGUGGUUUGUCGCGUCGUCUGUGAAAUUCCGGGGCUUAACUCCGGGCGUGCAGGCGAUACGGGCUGACUUGAGUGCUGUAGGGGAGACUGGAAUUCCUGGUGUAGCGGUGAAAUGCGCAGAUAUCAGGAGGAACACCGAUGGCGAAGGCAGGUCUCUGGGCAGUAACUGACGCUGAGGAGCGAAAGCAUGGGUAGCGAACAGGAUUAGAUACCCUGGUAGUCCAUGCCGUAAACGGUGGGCGCUAGGUGUAGGGGGCUUCCACGUCUUCUGUGCCGUAGCUAACGCAUUAAGCGCCCCGCCUGGGGAGUACGCCGCAAGGCUA
RNAcentral lists this ribosomal RNA (816 nucleotides) under uncultured Actinomycetes bacterium. RNAcentral's name for it is "bacterial SSU rRNA". It matches the Rfam family "Bacterial small subunit ribosomal RNA", at positions 70 to 896 of the family's 1533-position model. The record is from RNAcentral. Lineage: Bacteria; Bacillati; Actinomycetota; Actinomycetes.